UCCCCGGUCUCGAGAAAACGGUUUAGCCACCUCUUGUGUAAUUUGUUUCUUUGCUUUAUCAACAAAGGAGAGUUUCAGACCCUUGGGAGACGAUUAAAAAAAAAGAAAGAGAGUGAACAAGUGAUAGAAAUAUGCCUCCACACGAAGCAAAUUUGUGGUUGCACAUGAAAAAAGGGCGAAAGAGGAAAAAGAAAACAAAUGGAGGCAGCUUUUGUACAUUUUAAUCUAGAAAGACUUGCUUCAUUUGUUUUGGAGUUCACACCCACCAAGACAUCUUGUUGACCCCUCAUCACGCUCUCCACCCUCAGCCUUUUCCAGGCCGUCUUUCAAGAACCAGAGGCAGCUUUUUUUGACUCAUGUUGGGAUAAAAUUCCAUCUGGACCUUCAUCUUUGAAAAAUGACAUCUGCCUUUCAAGGAAAUCAGUAAAUGCUUUGGUCCAGCCUCUGACAUGUGACAAGGACCAUGGAUGGUGGAAAACAUUGAGGUUGCCA
Molecule: long non-coding RNA, 492 nt
Organism: Myripristis murdjan (pinecone soldierfish)
Lineage: Eukaryota; Metazoa; Chordata; Actinopteri; Holocentriformes; Holocentridae
Exons: 3
Source: RefSeq, a predicted model, not a curated record